Molecule: ribosomal RNA, 932 nt
Filed under: Diploschistes elixii
Lineage: Eukaryota; Fungi; Ascomycota; Lecanoromycetes; Ostropales; Graphidaceae
Description: eukaryotic LSU rRNA
Rfam family: Eukaryotic large subunit ribosomal RNA
Source: RNAcentral
AGUUGUAAUUUGCAGAAGGUGCUUCGGGCGCGACGGCGGUCCAAGUUCCUUGGAAUCGGACGUCGAAGAGGGUGAGAAUCCCGUAUUUGGCCGAUCGUCAAGCCCACCGCGAAGCCCUUUCGACGAGUCGAGUUGUUUGGGAAUGCAGCUCCAAGCGGGUGGUAAAUUCCAUCUAAAGCUAAAUACCUGCCAGAGACCGAUAGCGCACAAGUAGAGUGAUCGAAAGAUGAAAAGCACUUUGAAAAGAGAGUCAAACAGCACGUGAAAUUGUUGAAGGGGAAGCGCUUGCAACCAGACUCGCACGCGGGGGCUCAGCCGUUCCUCGGGACGGUGCGCUCCCCCGCGAUCGGGCCAGCAUCGGUUUCGGCGGCCGGACAAAGGCCCGGGGAAAGUAGCUCCCUCGCGGGAGUGUUAUAGCCCCGGGUGCAAUGCGGCCCNCCGGGACCGAGGACCGCGCUUUUGNUAGGAUGCUGGCGUAAUGGUUCCCAGCGACCCUUCUUGAACCCCGGACCAAGGAGUCGCCCGGCGACGCGAGUGUUCGGGCGUCAAACCCGGGCGCCCAAUGAAAGUGAACGGAGGUGGGAGCCCCCGGGCGCACCAUCGACCGAUCCCGAUGUCUUCGGAAGGAUUUGAGUAGGAGCGCCGCCGGUCGGACCCGAAAGAUGGUGAGCUAUACGUGGAUAGGGUGAAGCCAGAGGAAACUCUGGUGGAGGCUCGCAGCGGUUCUGACGUGCAAAUCGAUCGUCGAAUCUGCGUAUAGGGGCGAAAGACUAAUCGAACCAUCUAGUAGCUGGUUCCUGUCGAAGUUUCCCUCAGGAUAGCAGCAACGAAAACAGUCUCAUGGGGUAGAGCGAACGAUUAGAGGCCUUGGGGCGGAAACCGCCUUAACCUAUUCUCGAACUUCGAAUAUGUGAGAAGUCCCCGUUACUCGA